AGCGAACGCUGGCGGCAGGCUUAACACAUGCAAGUCGAACGGGCGUAGCAAUACGUCAGUGGCAGACGGGUGAGUAACGCGUGGGAACGUACCUUUUGGUUCGGAACAACCCAGGGAAACUUGGGCUAAUACCGGAUAAGCCCUUACGGGGAAAGAUUUAUCGCCGAAAGAUCGGCCCGCGUCUGAUUAGCUAGUUGGUGUGGUAACGGCGCACCAAGGCGACGAUCAGUAGCUGGUCUGAGAGGAUGAUCAGCCACAUUGGGACUGAGACACGGCCCAAACUCCUACGGGAGGCAGCAGUGGGGAAGUAUUGGACAAUGGGCGCAAGCCUGAUCCAGCCAUGCCGCGUGAGUGAGGAAGGCCUUAGGGUUGUAAAGCUCUUUCACCCGCGACGAUAAUGACGGUAGCGGGAGAAGAAGCCCCGGCUAACUUCGUGCCAGCAGCCGCCGCCGUAAG
This 456-nucleotide ribosomal RNA is filed under the name uncultured bacterium. Its description in RNAcentral is "bacterial SSU rRNA". It matches the Rfam family "Bacterial small subunit ribosomal RNA", at positions 29 to 527 of the family's 1533-position model. The record is from RNAcentral.